Molecule: ribosomal RNA, 253 nt
Filed under: uncultured bacterium
Lineage: Bacteria
Description: partial 16S ribosomal RNA
Rfam family: Bacterial small subunit ribosomal RNA
Source: RNAcentral
UACGUAGGGUGCAAGCGUUAAUCGGAAUUACUGGGCGUAAAGCGUGCGCAGGCGGUUUUUUAAGCUUGAUGUGAAAUCCCCGGGCUUAACCUGGGAACUGCAUUGAGGACUGGAAGGCUAGAGUACGGCAGAGGGGGGUGGAAUUCCACGUGUAGCAGUGAAAUGCGUAGAGAUGUGGAGGAACACCGAUGGCGAAGGCAGCCCCCUGGGCCUGUACUGACGUUCAUGCACGAAAGCGUGGGGAGCAAACAGG